RNAcentral lists this transfer RNA (69 nucleotides) under Uroplatus lineatus. Its description in RNAcentral is "tRNA-Phe". Lineage: Eukaryota; Metazoa; Chordata; Lepidosauria; Squamata; Gekkonidae. The record is from RNAcentral.
GUUUUUAGUAGCUUAGUAUAAAGCGUGGCCCUGAAGUUGCCGCUACGGGAUCUAAAUACCCCAAAAACC